This 334-nucleotide unclassified non-coding RNA is filed under the name soil metagenome. RNAcentral describes it as "partial contains 5.8S ribosomal RNA, internal transcribed spacer 2, and large subunit ribosomal RNA". The stretch from base 1 to 120 matches the Rfam family "5.8S ribosomal RNA", at positions 35 to 154 of the family's 154-position model. The record is from RNAcentral.
GAUGAAGAACGUAGCGAAAUGCGAUAAGUAAUGUGAAUUGCAGAAUUCAGUGAAUCAUCGAAUCUUUGAACGCACAUUGCGCCCGCCAGUAUUCUGGCGGGCAUGCCUGUUCGUGCGUCAUUUCAACCAUCAAGCCCCAGGCUUGUGUUGGAGCCCUGCGGCUGCCGCAGCCUCCCAAAACCAGUGGCGGGCUCGCUAUCACACCGAGUGCAGUAGUUUACUCUUCGCUCAGGGCGUGUGGCGGGUGCUAGCCGUAAAACCCCCAACUUCUCAAGGUUGACCUCGGAUCAGGUAGGAAUACCCGCUGAACUUAAGCAUAUCAAUAAGCGGAGGA